This 1351-nucleotide ribosomal RNA is filed under the name Georgenia sp. RNAcentral describes it as "bacterial SSU rRNA". It matches the Rfam family "Bacterial small subunit ribosomal RNA", at positions 68 to 1430 of the family's 1533-position model. The record is from RNAcentral. Lineage: Bacteria; Bacillati; Actinomycetota; Actinomycetes; Allobogoriellales; Allobogoriellaceae.
GAUGAUGCCAGCUUGCUGGUGGAUUAGUGGCGAACGGGUGAGUAACACGUGAGCAACCUGCCCCUGACUUCGGGAUAACCGCGGGAAACCGUGGCUAAUACCGGAUAUGACGCGUCACCGCAUGGUGGUGUGUGGAAAGAUUUAUCGGUUGGGGAUGGGCUCGCGGCCUAUCAGCUUGUUGGUGGGGUGAUGGCCUACCAAGGCGACGACGGGUAGCCGGCCUGAGAGGGUGACCGGCCACACUGGGACUGAGACACGGCCCAGACUCCUACGGGAGGCAGCAGUGGGGAAUAUUGCACAAUGGGCGAAAGCCUGAUGCAGCGACGCCGCGUGAGGGAUGACGGCCUUCGGGUUGUAAACCUCUUUCAGUAGGGAAGAAGGCCUUCGGGUUGACGGUACCUGCAGAAGAAGCGCCGGCUAACUACGUGCCAGCAGCCGCGGUAAUACGUAGGGCGCAAGCGUUGUCCGGAAUUAUUGGGCGUAAAGAGCUCGUAGGCGGUUUGUCGCGUCUGCUGUGAAAACGCGAGGCUUAACCUCGCGCCUGCAGUGGGUACGGGCAGACUAGAGUGCGGUAGGGGAGACUGGAAUUCCUGGUGUAGCGGUGGAAUGCGCAGAUAUCAGGAGGAACACCGGUGGCGAAGGCGGGUCUCUGGGCCGUUACUGACGCUGAGGAGCGAAAGCAUGGGGAGCGAACAGGAUUAGAUACCCUGGUAGUCCAUGCCGUAAACGUUGGGCACUAGGUGUGGGACCCAUUCCACGGGUUCCGUGCCGCAGCUAACGCAUUAAGUGCCCCGCCUGGGGAGUACGGCCGCAAGGCUAAAACUCAAAGGAAUUGACGGGGGCCCGCACAAGCGGCGGAGCAUGCGGAUUAAUUCGAUGCAACGCGAAGAACCUUACCAAGGCUUGACAUACACCGGAAACAUCCAGAGAUGGGUGCCCCGCAAGGUCGGUGUACAGGUGGUGCAUGGUUGUCGUCAGCUCGUGUCGUGAGAUGUUGGGUUAAGUCCCGCAACGAGCGCAACCCUUGUCCUGUGUUGCCAGCGGGUUAUGCCGGGGACUCAUGGGAGACUGCCGGGGUCAACUCGGAGGAAGGUGGGGAUGACGUCAAAUCAUCAUGCCCCUUAUGUCUUGGGCUUCACGCAUGCUACAAUGGCCGGUACAAAGGGUUGCGAUGCCGCGAGGUGGAGCGAAUCCCAAAAAGCCGGUCUCAGUUCGGAUUGGGGUCUGCAACUCGACCCCAUGAAGUCGGAGUCGCUAGUAAUCGCAGAUCAGCAACGCUGCGGUGAAUACGUUCUCGGGCCUUGUACACACCGCCCGUCACGUCACGAAAGUCGGUAACACCCGAAGCCGG